UACGGAGGAUGCAAGUGUUAUCCGGAAUGAUUGGGCGUAAAGCGUCCGCAGGUGGCUAUGUAAGUCUGCUGUUAAAGAGUGAGGCUCAACCUCAUAAGAGCAGUGGAAACUACAUGGCUAGAGUGCGUUCGGGGCAGAGGGAAUUCCUGGUGUAGCGGUGAAAUGCGUAGAGAUCAGGAAGAACACCGGUGGCGAAAGCGCUCUGCUAGGCCGCAACUGACACUCAUGGACGAAAGCUAGGGGAGCGAAUGGG
This 253-nucleotide ribosomal RNA is filed under the name uncultured bacterium. RNAcentral's name for it is "partial 16S ribosomal RNA". It matches the Rfam family "Bacterial small subunit ribosomal RNA", at positions 524 to 776 of the family's 1533-position model. The record is from RNAcentral.